Molecule: ribosomal RNA, 757 nt
Filed under: uncultured Alphaproteobacteria bacterium
Lineage: Bacteria; Pseudomonadati; Pseudomonadota; Alphaproteobacteria
Description: bacterial SSU rRNA
Rfam family: Bacterial small subunit ribosomal RNA
Source: RNAcentral
GCAGACGGGUGAGUAACGCGUGGGAACCUGCCCAGUAGUAGAGAAUAACUUGAGGAAACUUAAGCUAAUACUUUAUACACCCUCCGGGGAAAAGCUUUAAGCGCUAUUGGAUGGGCCCGCGUUAGAUUAGUUUGUUGGUGAGGUAAUGGCUCACCAAGACUACGAUCUAUAGCUGGUCUGAGAGGAUGAUCAGCCACACUGGGACUGAGACACGGCCCAGACUCCUACGGGAGGCAGCAGUGGGGAAUAUUGGACAAUGGGGGCAACCCUGAUCCAGCGAUGCCGCGUGAGUGAUGAAGGCCUUCGGGUUGUAAAACUCUUUCGUCAGGGAAGAUAAUGACGGUACCUGAAGAAGAAGAUCCGGCUAACUCCGUGCCAGCAGCCGCGGUAAUACGGAGGGAUCUAGCGUUAUUCGGAAUUACUGGGCGUAAAGCGAGCGUAGGCGGAUUUGUAAGUUGGAGGUGAAAUCCCAGAGCUUAACUCUGGAACUGCCUUCAAAACUACAUUUCUUGAGUUUGGUAGAGGAGAGUGGAAUUCCUAGUGUAGAGGUGAAAUUCGUAGAUAUUAGGAGGAACACCAGUGGCGAAGGCGACUCUCUGGGCCAAUACUGACGCUGAGGUUCGAAAGCAUGGGUAGCGAACAGGAUUAGAUACCCUGGUAGUCCAUGCAGUAAACGAUGAGUGCUAGAUGUUGGGAAUUUAAAUUUCCAGUAUCGCAGUUAACGCGUUAAGCACUCCGCCUGGGAAGUACGGCCGCA